CAUGGAGUCAAUCAGUUGUCUCGACUCUCGAGAAUGCAUUUAGAAGUCGCAUUUUAACGAGCGGUUUUUGGCGUGUUUUGUUCCACUGCACCCGAAACGUACGGACCAUUGUCGUGAACCGUUGUUUUCGGUUCACAUUUUCGGUCAUUGGCACCAUCAUUCGUUUUUCUCCACAAUUUCCCGCAAAUAGAGAGGCUCGAAAACCCUUAAACCCUAAAUUUCCAACCAUUCACUCUAACACUUCAGUAUCAGUACGAUGAAUGAUUCAUAACAUAAAUUUUCCCUAAUAUCAAUUCAUCGAUAAUCGAAGUUCCCUAUUUACUCAGGCGCCUGUAUUACAGUUUGGGUGAACUGUGGGCUGUGAUUUUUAUUAUUUUUUAAUUUUUUUUUCUGGUUUAAAAAUGGCGAGGCUUCUUCGAAAUGCGUCUUCUCUGAGGUGCUCUUUGUUUCCACAGUUACAGGUCUUUCUCUUCUUAUAGCUUUCUAUUUGUUUUGUUUUCUCUGUUCCUGUCAGUUUCUCUUCAUUUUGAAAAAAGUAAAGAAAAUGGAAUUUUUAAAAGAUUUUUUUCAUUAACAUUUAAAACACCAUUAUAUGUUAAAUGUACUCGCUUUAUAAAUAUAUAGCCGGGUUUUUCUUUUUAUAUGGACUUCAUAAGUCAAAAAUAGGAAUUUGAAUCCAAGAAUCACCCCCCCUUCAAUUCCGUUAAUUUUUUAUGUGUUUUAAGUUUGUAAUGGAUGGAUAUUUGUUAAGCCGGAAGUUUUUAUGUGGUUUAAAUAUUUGGUUUUUAUGUUUCCAGGAAUCUAGGCACGGUAUAUCAAAACCAACCACUCAACUAUGCUACUUUGCGACCAAAGGUGCAGAA
RNAcentral lists this long non-coding RNA (863 nucleotides) under Olea europaea subsp. europaea. Lineage: Eukaryota; Viridiplantae; Streptophyta; Magnoliopsida; Lamiales; Oleaceae. The record is from RNAcentral.